AUUAACCUUUCUCAGUAAACAUUAGAGCAAUAAAAUUAUCUUAGAACUAUUUCUUAGAAAAAUUUUAGGUUGCUGAAUUGUUGGUUUAAAUAGACCAGCAUCUUACCCUGUGUGAUGGGAGGCCGGAUUGGAUCGAGUCAUGUUCAAAAUGACAUAAGAUUGGGUUGAUCCGAGUCAUAUUUGAAAUGACGUGAGAUCGAUUGGACUGACUCACAAUUGAAAUAUAUGGGGUCUAUACACUUUACGUGUAAUGAUUAGUGCCAACGAUUCGAUAUAAACAUGCUUUUCUUCUCUCAAACAAAAUUAAGUAUUGCAAA
Molecule: long non-coding RNA, 317 nt
Filed under: Ananas comosus (pineapple)
Lineage: Eukaryota; Viridiplantae; Streptophyta; Magnoliopsida; Poales; Bromeliaceae
Description: long non-coding RNA (ACOM_LNC004429)
Source: RNAcentral